UUAUUGUCAGUAUCUUAUACAACAGCGCCUCCCUGUGGCUGAUUAAACACUUACUAGAAAUAUUAAAUUGUUGGUGAAAAAGAGAACAAAUGAAGAUGAAGCCAAUACGUACUCAUCUUUAUUCAUGAAACAUUAGUGUGAGAAAUUCUGUGGCGUACAAGUAGUGGUUAUAAUUUUGUACUUUUUUUUUGUAAUUUUUGUAUUUUGUCAGUACCUUUGACAGAUAAGAUUAGAAAAAAAUGCUCUUUUACAGCUUUUCACAUUCUAUAAACAUAUGCAAACUACAAAUCCACAUUAUCCCAACACAUGAGUGCAAAUCUAUACAAACAUGAACAAUAUAUAUCCAGUUAAUUUAAACGUUAUUUGUUAUCCAAACAUGGAUGACAAUCAUUUUCAAACGUCCUCACAAAACGUCACUCGUUCAGUUCUGUGUUGCAGACAUUUCGAUAACAGCCUGUUUCAGUACAGACACAGCUGGUCAGUAUCCAGCAUUACGAUCUCACUUAUCAUUUCACUUGGAGAAUACAACUCCAGAACAGGUUUAGAUACGGAGAAAAAAAAAGAUCCUUACCCUGUCAUGUUAUAUUUACAAGGUGAGUCCAUAACAGUAAAAUAAACUCCAGUUUUCAAAUUGCUGAUGUAUCAAGAAUAAUGUAAGACGCAUUUCCAAGAAACCACACAUAGGAAAUCAAAUCUGAUCUCAGAAACAUUAUUACUUCCUUUCAUAAGAGUUUUAUCACUCUCUGUCUUUGGAUUGUAAAGUUGCAGAGGUCAGGACCUCAAGUGCUAGUGGUAAAGGGAUUGCGUGCACUUAAGCACUACUACCUGCAGGGGGCAGUGUGGUUCAACAAUAGAGUUUCAACAUGGUGAGUCAAAAGAACCUUCCAUAUCUUUUAUUAUUUGAAAUAAAGAGGUUAAUCACCUGAAAACAUGUCAAGGUCACAUUUGAUCCUAUUUUUUAAAAUAAAUUUCCAUGACAACUAAGCACUAUAUUUCCCAAUAUCCUCAAUGGUGUUUUUAUUAUUUAAAUCAGCAUUAACAAUACAACUUUAAAUAUCAUUACUGAGAAUCUGGGAAGGGGGUGAACAAAACGAUCCUAAAAGUCAAAUCUUAAUGGUCUCAAAUUUCUCACAACAUUUUGUUAUGGGGGGAACUAUAUGACCCAGACAUGUUCUUGAAAGGUUUAAUGACGAACACACUUUCGUUGUGAUUGAAAAAUACUCAUUGAUCAGUAUAAUGGAUGCUACACAAUUCAUUUACAUAAAUCUGACAUUUGAAACUUCAUUAGGCAAAUCUAUAACUUAAUUAGUGGUAGGCACUCUUAAAGGUUUUGUGAUGCAUGGUUAAAUCAUAACUAAACCAUUGGAAUUAGAAGGAAAUAAAAUGUCAGAAAGACGUUCAGGGUCACUGAAAUAGUACCCGUUUCUUCAACAGACGUCUGCCAAGAACACUUCGCAGUUCUAGACGUUUUCUGAGUGUCAUGACAGAUCUCACCAAAGAACGCCAGCAACAGCAUGUUCCCCGUAUGCAAACCCAAGACGCAAUUUCACUGGGUCCAUAAGUCCUCCAAAACUUCUGCUGAAGAUCAUCCAGUUCUGCAGGCAGUGGGAUAUUCAACUCCUGAUUCAGAGUCAAUGCCUCAAAACAGUCCUCCAACUUCUGAAAAGCAGGCCUGAAGGAGACCGGAAGUGGAAAGAGAGCUAUGAGCCGAUGUCUGGGAAUGUGACAGCUAACCAGAGAGGAGAUCCUACCUUCAGUGCCACAAAACACUUACAGGUAAGUAGGGAAUGUCUGCCAUAAUAUAAGAGGGAUUUCACAGAAGGAUAAACAGUCAAUUAAAAUAUCAAUCAAAUAAUAAACAGUAGAAAGAAGUCUAAAGGUCUGACCAGCUGAAGUCAAUAGUCAAAAAGCUUCUACUUUAAUUCAUUGAAACGCUUAAUAAAGAACAAUAUGUAAAAAAAAGUUUGAC
Long non-coding RNA from Carassius auratus (goldfish), 1969 nucleotides. RefSeq lists it as uncharacterized. The transcript is spliced from 3 exons. The record is from RefSeq and is a predicted model, not a curated record. Lineage: Eukaryota; Metazoa; Chordata; Actinopteri; Cypriniformes; Cyprinidae.